This is a non-coding RNA of Melanotaenia boesemani (Boeseman's rainbowfish), 676 nucleotides long. The record is from the annotation of a RefSeq genome assembly. NCBI's taxonomy places the organism in Eukaryota, Metazoa, Chordata, Actinopteri, Atheriniformes, Melanotaeniidae.
AUGGAGCGGAUGGCAGGGUGGAGCCGGCUAGAGCUGGAGAUGAAAGUGAAUCAGAGCGGGGUGGAAACAAUCCAGGAGGUUGGUGUGGCAGGCAGGGCUGACAGAAGCCGAAGAACCAGGAAUCUAGACAUAAGACAGGGUUAUGAGACACGAGUACGAUCAAGGCAGAGAACUAGAGAGGCCACGAUAUACCAGAUUGAUCUAAGUUCCUGCUGGAUUUGCGUCCUCAUCUGGACUCUCCUCUGCUUCACUCAGGGGUCUGUUGGACAGAAUGUUGUUGUGACUCAGUCAGCAGCCAAAUCAGUGCAGCUCGGACAAACUGUCACUAUUGACUGUAAGGCCACUCCAACAAUAAAUCAACGCUCUGGUUCAAAAUACUACCUGAACUGGUACCAUCAGAAACCUGGAGAAGCUUUUAAAGCUCUGAUCUACUUGACAUCAGACAGACUUUCAGGAAUCUCCUCCAGAUUCAGUGGAAGUGGAGCAGGGAAUGGAGUUGACUUCACUCUGACCAUCAGUGGAGUUCAGGCUGAAGAUGCAGGAGUUUAUUACUGUCAGAGUUAUCACUGGUUGAAUAGCCAGCCAGUGUUCACACAGUGAAAAAGCAUCGUACAAAAACCUCCUUCAGUCAGAUAGAACAGAAACUGAACUCAGUGCUACAGCUGGAAGUUAUUCC